UAACGCGUGGGUAACCUGCCUCAUACAGGGGGAUAACAGUUAGAAAUGACUGCUAAUACCGCAUAAGCGCACAGUGCUGCAUGGCACAGUGUGAAAAACUCCGGUGGUAUGAGAUGGACCCGCGUCUGAUUAGCUGGUUGGCGGGGUAACGGCCUACCAAGGCGACGAUCAGUAGCCGACCUGAGAGGGUGACCGGCCACAUUGGGACUGAGACACGGCCCAG
RNAcentral lists this ribosomal RNA (223 nucleotides) under uncultured bacterium. RNAcentral describes it as "partial 16S ribosomal RNA". It matches the Rfam family "Bacterial small subunit ribosomal RNA", at positions 111 to 334 of the family's 1533-position model. The record is from RNAcentral.